Long non-coding RNA from Coturnix japonica (Japanese quail), 2091 nucleotides. The record is from Ensembl. NCBI's taxonomy places the organism in Eukaryota, Metazoa, Chordata, Aves, Galliformes, Phasianidae.
AUUUCUGCUUGUAAUAACAGUUAAUAAGCUUACAGUCUCCAACUUCAAAUCAGCUCUUCUAUUCUUAAUUCAUUUGUGCUCAUGUCCUAAUCAAUAGAGGCAGUUCUGCAGUGAACUUCAGCAGCUGUUUGAAAGCAGACAUUGCUACAGUAAGGUCUUUAGGACAAAAGUGGAAAUGCAAGAUGAGGUCUUUCUGGAUAGACAUAUGGUAAUGCCUGGCUGAAAUUGAAUUCGGAUUGGUGAAUCGUAAUGGGACCUUUUCUUAUCAUAAGAAACAGUUUCUUGAUUUUAACAGAAGUGUCAAGAAGCGGGCUUCCUUACCUUUGUGCUCUGAACAGAUGCUGGGGAAAAGGAAUGCAACGGCUGAUUCAGAUUCACAAACAUUAGAUGAGAAGAAUGUGUAUGAUCUUCGAAUCUGAAUUCAUCUCUAUGUGGACCAUGGACAGGUAGGCAUAUAUUUUGACAUAUACUAUAUUUUAGAGCCAUUUAAGCAAGAGCGAGUUUUACACCUUCCAUGGUAGUCUGUUACAGUGUUUAAUUAUCCAGAAUAAUUUUGAACAAAAAUUGGUGUACUUGGCCUCAUUAAUGUGCGGCAAAGAAGAGCUUUUUUAAAGCAACCUCCAGACAGGAUUUGUAAACAUCAACUUCAUUUUUAUUUGGUACAAAGCACAUUAACGGCAGCAGCAGAGAGAGAGCUAAAAUUUUACAAGUAGAGAAUUAAUCACAGCGGGUGAUGACAGGCUGGUAAAGUGUCUCAUUAGUAAAAGAAUAACAAGGAGUUUAAUGGAGAGUCAGUGUUUUGUAAGUAUAAUAGCCUGGGUUUUCAAAAGGGAUUGGUGAUUUGGGAAUGCCUCUAGUUUUGAUACUAGAUUCGAACCAGUCAGAUUUUUGAAGGCAUUAAGAGCAUCUUUCUGUAGCUGCUUUAAAGAUUUUGGAGGGUAAGCGUGCCAAAGACAGACUGUCAUUUCCAUCUCAGACACGGUCCUUGACUAAAGCGUUCCUAGUUUCAUAGCGUUUCAGGAUGGACCAGCAUGCUUUUAAGAGGCAGAUUUGCAGCUGAUAUAAAAUAUCUUGGACACAGACAACAUGGAACAGUGGCAGAUUACAGUGACUGACAUACUGUCCCUAUUGUGAACUUUUUUUGCAGCAGAAAAACACUGUAUCAUCCUAAGUGAGAGCUUCUCUUAUGUGGAAACUUAAACCUCCUCCCCAUUCUGCAACAAUAGCACUUACACAGGGCAGCGUUGUGGAAAGGCUUUGUUCUAAACAUGCAGUCUGCUUGCAACAAACAUCACCAGUGCAAGUUCAGCUCUAGAAAAUGGAUUAAAAAAUACAGCUGGCAGAAGGAGACAUAACCAUAAAAGACAAGAACAAGUUGUAACUUACAGAGACAACUUGGAAACUGGGAGACACAAGGAAGAAAUUCUUUUAGCUGUUUUGAGGAUAAGCCAGGCUCAUGCGUGCUGGGUGGUUUACUCUUGUUAAGUAUAGCUAAUCUUUUCAAACAGAUUAUCUGUUUAUAUAUAUAUAUAUAUAUAUAUAGCUUUUAUUGGGUUUUAGUCCCAUGAGUACUUUUUCUUCAACUACGAAGCGUAUCAUUUAUAUAGGUACGUAACACAGUGUACUGCAGGGUAGGUAUUGUAUGACAUUUUAUUUAUAUUUUGCUGUUGAUAUGUGACAAAAUGAUGUUUCUGCUGCUUCUGGUCUCGUUCAUUAGAGUGACCAGGACAAUGGGCAUAGCUUCCUGCAAUACCAUCAGGCUAAAGCAUAAGGGGAAUUUAAGUAAUGCCUAAUUCUUAUAGGCCCUCACCUGGUGUAAAUUGUAGCUACAAGUUAGGAGACUAAAUAGUAUAGGAAGGAGCAUGCACCAAAACCAGUUAAUGAAAUCCAAUCUGUUAGUGCAAGAAAGCUGAAUUUUUCUUGAUAUUCCCUCCCCUGCUAAGUCUAUCAAAGUCAAGUAAGAAUUUUGAUGCCACCCCCUAUCUAUUGAAGUCAUAGUGAAAAAAAAUUCAGUGUUCAUUGUAUACCCAAAUUAUUUCUAGAUCUUCAAUUCAUAAUAAAUCUACUUAGAGUGCUUUGUUCUGAUGAACU